UCUCAGCCUGCUACGAACCCCAUCCUCUGC
Molecule: non-coding RNA, 30 nt
Filed under: Mus musculus (house mouse)
Lineage: Eukaryota; Metazoa; Chordata; Mammalia; Rodentia; Muridae
Source: RNAcentral